AUAAGAAAAGGGCCAGAUAUACAUGCAAGUCGAACGCGUUGGCCCAAUUGAUUGAUGGUGCUUGCACCUGAUUGAUUUUGGUCGCCAACGAGUGGCGGACGGGUGAGUAACACGUAGGUAACCUGCCCAGAAGCGGGGGACAACAUUUGGAAACAGAUGCUAAUACCGCAUAACAACGUUGUUCGCAUGAACAACGCUUAAAAGAUGGCUUCUCGCUAUCACUUCUGGAUGGACCUGCGGUGCAUUAGCUUGUUGGUGGGGUAACGGCCUACCAAGGCGAUGAUGCAUAGCCGAGUUGAGAGACUGAUCGGCCACAAUGGGACUGAGACACGGCCCAUACUCCUACGGGAGGCAGCAGUAGGGAAUCUUCCACAAUGGGCGCAAGCCUGAUGGAGCAACACCGCGUGAGUGAAGAAGGGUUUCGGCUCGUAAAGCUCUGUUGUUAAAGAAGAACACGUAUGAGAGUAACUGUUCAUACGUUGACGGUAUUUAACCAGAAAGUCACGGCUAACUACGUGCCAGCAGCCGCGGUAAUACGUAGGUGGCAAGCGUUAUCCGGAUUUAUUGGGCGUAAAGAGAGUGCAGGCGGUUUUCUAAGUCUGAUGUGAAAGCCUUCGGCUUAACCGGAGAAGUGCAUCGGAGACUGGAUAACUUGAGUGCAGAAGAGGGUAGUGGAACUCCAUGUGUAGCGGUGGAAUGCGUAGAUAUAUGGAAGAACACCAGUGGCGAAGGCGGCUACCUGGUCUGCAACUGACGCUGAGACUCGAAAGCAUGGGUAGCGAACAGGAUUAGAUACCCUGGUAGUCCAUGCCGUAUACGAUGAGUGCUAGGUGUUGGAGGGUUUCCGCCCUUCAGUGCCGGAGCUAACGCAUUAAGCACUCCGCCUGGGGAGUACGACCGCAAGGUUGAAACUCAAAGGAAUUGACGGGGGCCCGCACAAGCGGUGGAGCAUGUGGUUUAAUUCGAAGCUACGCGAAGAACCUUACCAGGUCUUGACAUCUUGCGCCAACCCUAGAGAUAGGGCGUUUCCUUCGGGAACGCAAUGACAGGUGGUGCAUGGUCGUCGUCAGCUCGUGUCGUGAGAUGUUGGGUUAAGUCCCGCAACGAGCGCAACCCUUGUUACUAGUUGCCAGCAUUAAGUUGGGA
Molecule: ribosomal RNA, 1146 nt
Filed under: Limosilactobacillus fermentum
Lineage: Bacteria; Bacillati; Bacillota; Bacilli; Lactobacillales; Lactobacillaceae
Description: bacterial SSU rRNA
Rfam family: Bacterial small subunit ribosomal RNA
Source: RNAcentral